UCGGGAAUUUUGGGCAAUGGGCGAAAGCCUGACCCAGCAACGCCGCGUGAAGGAUGAAGUAUUUCGGUAUGUAAACUUCGUAAGAAUAGGAAGAAUAAAUGACGGUACUAUUUGUAAGGUCCGGCUAACUACGUGCCAGCAGCCGCGGUAAUACGUAGGGACCAAGCGUUGUUCGGAUUUACUGGGCGUAAAGGGCGCGUAGGCGGUGUGUCAAGUCAGUUGUGAAAUCUCCGAGCUUAACUCGGAACGGUCAACUGAUACUGUCACACUAGAGUACAGAAGGGGCAAUCGGAAUUCUUGGUGUAGCGGUGAAAUGCGUAGAUAUCAAGAGGAACACCUGAGGCGAAGGCGGGUUGCUGGGCUGAUACUGACGCUGAGGCGCGAAAGCUAGGGUAGCAAACGGGGAUUAGAUACCCUAGUAGUCCCUGAGCGGGCUGGCAAGGCGCAU
RNAcentral lists this ribosomal RNA (448 nucleotides) under uncultured bacterium. RNAcentral describes it as "bacterial SSU rRNA". It matches the Rfam family "Bacterial small subunit ribosomal RNA", at positions 355 to 825 of the family's 1533-position model. The record is from RNAcentral.